Molecule: ribosomal RNA, 472 nt
Filed under: uncultured organism
Description: partial 16S ribosomal RNA
Rfam family: Bacterial small subunit ribosomal RNA
Source: RNAcentral
UACACUCCUACGGGAGGCAGCAGUGGGGAAUAUUGCACAAUGGGCGCAAGCCUGAUGCAGCCAUGCCGCGUGUAUGAAGAAGGCCUUCGGGUUGUAAAGUACUUUCAGCGGGGAGGAAGGCGAUAAGGUUAAUAACCUUGUCGAUUGACGUUACCCGCAGAAGAAGCACCGGCUAACUCCGUGCCAGCAGCCGCGGUAAUACGGAGGGUGCAAGCGUUAAUCGGAAUUACUGGGCGUAAAGCGCACGCAGGCGGUCUGUCAAGUCGGAUGUGAAAUCCCCGGGCUCAACCUGGGAACUGCAUUCGAAACUGGCAGGCUAGAGUCUUGUAGAGGGGGGUAGAAUUCCAGGUGUAGCGGUGAAAUGCGUAGAGAUCUGGAGGAAUACCGGUGGCGAAGGCGGCCCCCUGGACAAAGACUGACGCUCAGGUGCGAAAGCGUGGGGAGCAAACAGGAUUAGAAACCCCGGUAGUCC